RNAcentral lists this ribosomal RNA (740 nucleotides) under uncultured soil bacterium. Its description in RNAcentral is "bacterial SSU rRNA". It matches the Rfam family "Bacterial small subunit ribosomal RNA", at positions 31 to 768 of the family's 1533-position model. The record is from RNAcentral.
GAACGCUGGCGGCAUGCCUUACACAUGCAAGUCGAACGGCAGCGCGGGGCAACCUGGCGGCGAGUGGCGAACGGGUGAGUAAUAUAUCGGAACGUACCCUGGAGUGGGGGAUAACGCAGCGAAAGUUGCGCUAAUACCGCAUACGAUCUAAGGAUGAAAGCAGGGGACCGCAAGGCCUUGUGCUCCUGGAGCGGCCGAUAUCUGAUUAGCUAGUUGGUGGGGUAAAGGCCUACCAAGGCAUCGAUCAGUAGCUGGUCUGAGAGGACGACCAGCCACACUGGAACUGAGACACGGUCCAGACUCCUACGGGAGGCAGCAGUGGGGAAUUUUGGACAAUGGGCGCAAGCCUGAUCCAGCAAUGCCGCGUGAGUGAAGAAGGCCUUCGGGUUGUAAAGCUCUUUUGUCAGGGAAGAAACGGUAUGGGCUAAUAUCCUGUACUAAUGACGGUACCUGAAGAAUAAGCACCGGCUAACUACGUGCCAGCAGCCGCGGUAAUACGUAGGGUGCAAGCGUUAAUCGGAAUUACUGGGCGUAAAGCGUGCGCAGGCGGUUUUGUAAGUCUGUCGUGAAAUCCCCGGGCUCAACCUGGGAAUUGCGAUGGAGACUGCAAGGCUAGAAUCUGGCAGAGGGGGGUAGAAUUCCACGUGUAGCAGUGAAAUGCGUAGAGAUGUGGAGGAACACCGAUGGCGAAGGCAGCCCCCUGGGUCAAGAUUGACGCUCAUGCACGAAAGCGUGGGGAG